This 345-nucleotide ribosomal RNA is filed under the name Triticum aestivum (bread wheat). RNAcentral describes it as "partial small subunit ribosomal RNA". The record is from RNAcentral. Lineage: Eukaryota; Viridiplantae; Streptophyta; Magnoliopsida; Poales; Poaceae.
AUGGCUUCAGUGAGACUAGUUGCAAAAGAGAUCGGUGCCUUGAGUGUUGAUCUCAGUGACCUAAGUCAAGAAUUGACGAAGGUUGUGAGGAGUUCCUUGAGCAUUGUUCAUACAGCUGACGCUCAACUUCGCCAGCUGGCAACCUCAGCCCAACAAGGAACCGCUCAGGGGGCGGCUAACCGGAAGAAAGCAGUAGGGGAGCCAUUGGUGGCUACUACCGUGAGAGAAGUCCGUGAGUUGAUUGCGGACAUCCGGUCAGGAUUUGGAGCAGCCUUCGGCAUCGCCAACCUUUUCAGGUGGGCAUCAAAAUUUUGGUCAAAGCGCCCUACGAAUAACUCACAGUGA